AUGGCCCGGGGGCCCGGCCAGCUAGGCAGGCCUCGCCCCGAUACGGUCGCCAUGCCCAAGAGAGGAAAGCGACUCAAGUUCUGGGCCCACGACGCCUGCUCUGGACAAGUGACUGAGGUGGAUUACGCCAACUCGGAUCCAGCGGUCGUGAGGUCUGGAUGAGUCAAGAAAGCCUUAGCCAACGCUGUUCAGCAGGAAGUAAAAUCUCUUUGUGGCUUGGAAGCCUCUCAGGUUCCUGCAGAGGAAGCUCUUUCUGGGGCUGGUGAGCCCUGUGACAUCAUCGACAGCGGUGAUGAGACGAUGCCCAGGAGGAAAGCAUCUGUGAGAGAACUGUCUCCAGAAAAAAGAAAAGCAAGAGGCACAAAGAAGAACUGGACGGGGCUGGAGGAGAAGAGUAUCCCAUGGAUAUUUGGCUAUUGCUGGCCUCCUAUAUCUGUCCUGAGGACAUUGUGAAUUUUUCCCUGAUUUGUAAGAAUGCUCGGACUGUCACUUGCACUGCUGCCUUUUGGACAAGGUUGUACCGAAGGCACUACACGCUGGAUGCUUCCCUGCCUUUGCGUCUGCGACCAGAGUCAAUGGAGAAGCUGCGCUGUCUCCGGGCUUGUGUGAUCCGAUCUCUGUACCAUAUAUGUAUGAGCCAUUUGCUGCUCCAAUCUCCAAGAAUCCAAGCACCCCCAGCACAUUAAAGAAUUCCAAAUGCUUACUUUUCUGGUGCAGAAAUAUUGUUGGGAACAGACAGGAACCAAUGUGGAAAUUCAACUUCAAGUUAAAAAAACAGGUUAAAGAGCAAGUGUACAGGAGGAUUGCAGCCCCCUGUUCAGUACGAAGAUGUUCAUACCAAUCCACACCGGGACUGCUGCCUACUGCAGGCCACCACCCUCAAUUUCAUCUUCAUUCCGAUUGUCAUGAGAAUGAUAUUUACUCUCUUUACUAUCAAUGUGAGCAAGGACAUACGGCAUCAUUGAGUGAGACUGGUGUUUCAAGAUUCCCCUGUCCAUGGUGGUCGGAAACUGUGCAGUGAACAGGGUGUGCAAGUCAUCCUGGACCCAGUGCACAGCUUUCGGCUCUUUGACUGAUGGCACCCUCAGUACCCAUUCUCCCUGAGAGC
Molecule: long non-coding RNA, 1108 nt
Filed under: Homo sapiens (human)
Lineage: Eukaryota; Metazoa; Chordata; Mammalia; Primates; Hominidae
Description: non-protein coding lnc-SUB1-1:1
Source: RNAcentral